Long non-coding RNA from Herpailurus yagouaroundi (jaguarundi), 2235 nucleotides. RefSeq lists it as uncharacterized. Lineage: Eukaryota; Metazoa; Chordata; Mammalia; Carnivora; Felidae. The record is from RefSeq and is a predicted model, not a curated record. The transcript is spliced from 3 exons.
GCUUUGCUAUUUUAAAGACAAAGUUUGGGCUCAGCUCCUAGGCCUUCUUCCCCGAAGGCCCUAGGACUGGACUUCUCUGUUGGAAUCCACGGUAGGCAGACAGGCGGCUGCGUUGCCAGAUGGGAAACAGAGCCUUUAACAAAGGGCUGCAAACGCCAGCACUUCAAAAGGAUCUGACCUGGCAGUCUAUUAGCAGGGGCAGCUGCUUUGAUAGAAUUCUGGAACCACCAACGCUGUCAAAACCUGCACUGCUCUCGGGUAUUGCACACUCGCUUGUAAAAACAGCAGAAAACAUCAGAGAAAUACUCCCCAAACAUCCAUUUGUCAGCCCUUUAGAAAGCAUGAAUCCUGCUCUCUUGGGCCAUUGAUCUCCUCCUUCGUUUCCUCUUGGAAAGCAGAGGCUGCUUCUGGAGGACAGUGUGCCGGAGUGUGCUUUAAGAGAUACAAAUGACAACAGAGCCUUUGUAUGCUUGCUCUGAUGCUGAGGGUUUGAGGGUUUGCAAUGGCUCGUCCAUGCAAAAGUACCAGUGCAUUUCCGUUUUUGCCUUGGGCCGGAACUGCACAUACCCCACGUCUCUGCUUCCCACGUGCAAACCUGCAGGCUCUGAUGAUUCGGGCACCAAGUAGUCAUGGGGGAGGCUCCCAGGAGGGUCAGUGGUAAAGUCACCUCGGGGAGAAAAUUGUUAUAAAUGAAGAUUCCUAGGCCAGAUGGGGGCCUCAGAGCAAACUUGCAGAAGGACGGACCGGAGACUGUUUUUUUGACGGUCCGAAAUAACUUGAAAUUAGUAUAAGAGAUGCAACUGACGUAACUGUGUGCAAGAUGUGGGAAUGAUGGGGCUUUUAGGGGAGAUAGUGGGGUUCGUGGGGUCCAGAGCCGACGGCCAGGAAAGAAUUCUUGAAAACGUCUUUGGUGCAAAAUGGUGAUCUUGUUAAAGCACGGGGACAGGACCCGUGGGCAGGAAGAGCUGCCCCGGGGCCUUGAGAGACUAGUUAUAUACUAUGGGGCUGCCGGAGGUGAAGUCCAGGGGAAGCUUCCAGUGAGAUUUUUAUAUGCUAAAGGAGACUCACAGGAUUUUGGAGGCCUAGCUAUUGUCAAGCUAGGGUUGUUUUUCCCUCUAGCAAAGCAUUAGCAUUAAGACAGUAAGGAGUUCCCGGAGAAACGUUUUACUCUGCUGGCCUCAAGUAUUUGUCAAUGGGCUACAGGUUCUAAGGAAAUUUAGUUCUAUCUGCCAUUUCCGUCUGCCUUUGUUCGUUACUACGGAGAGUGAUCUCUAUCAGUUCACCAUUUGUUUUUCCCCUUUCCUUUGUUCUUGGGCAGCCGGGAGUGCACACAUAUCCCCCCUGGUGGUGGUGGUGGGGGGGGGGGGGGGCUGUCAGCUUGCCUUAUGCGUCCAGAAACAUCUGGAAGUACUGCAGAUGUGCGACCUGCAAAGAUGAUCCCGCCAAGCCACAGUCAGCUGAGCCUGAACACCGAUGUAUCUGUGCGGUAACAAUAGGGCCUUUACGUAUGUGAAGUUCAUUUUUGCAUCCACGCUCCCUCCUUUUCUCCCUCCCUCCCAGCUUACCAUCUGGAUUCCACCUUGCACUUUCCGCCUGGGCUGCCCACGGAAGGUUGUCUCGGCUUUACCUUUGCUCUGCCAUUCACGACCUGCCCGCCAUCCCGCUUGAUCCGCUACGCUAACCUCUGGAAGCGGCUCGGGGGGUUUCUCUCACAGACAGCUCUUCUCACGAUGCUACUGAAAAGCAGAUUCUAAUUCUGCCUAUCGGGAUGUCUGGGUGAGGCCAUGCAUUUCUAGCAAGCUUCCAGAGAUGUGGAUGCUGCUGGUCAAUGGCUCCUACUUGGAGCAGCAAGGUCCUGGAGCUUGUAUCUCAACCUGAAAAGGAAAGGAACAACCAGGCCAUACUUCAGUGUGGGGAGGGCUUCGUUCAAAAGAGCAGAGAAACUGAUCAACGUCCAGCUAAGCCAAAGAGCAUUCUGAAUGCCAGUGACGAAGCAGGGAUGGAGGCAUGAGGAUGUGCAGUCAAGCUGAAGUAAUUCUACAAUCCUUCAUGGUAAGAAACAAUUAUUCUUACAUUUACAUGUCUGAAGACAUCUCUCUAUAAUGCCAGCUUUUCAGUUCAAUCUCCUUAUUCUGUAUGCUGACAUUUGGAGCUUUCAGCUCAAAAAGAAAAAGAGGGUUUUUUUUUUUUAACAUUUAUUUAUUAUUGAGAGACAGAGAGACACAGAGCGUGAGC